ACGUUACUACCAGAUAGCCCGGGUAUAAAUACUGCCAGCAGCCGCGUAAUAAGUAGGUGGCAAGCGUGUCCGGAUUAUUGGGCGUAAAGGGCUCGCAGGCGGUUUCUUAAGUCUGAUGUGAAAGCCCCCGGCUCAACCGGGGAGGGUCAUUGGAAACUGGGGAACUUGAGUGCAGAAGAGGAGAGUGGAAUUCCACGUGUAGCGGUGAAAUGCGUAGAGAUGUGGAGGAACACCAGUGGCGAAGGCGACUCUCUGGUCUGUAACUGACGCUGAGGAGCGAAAGCGUGGGGAGCGAACAGGAUUAGAUACCGUGGUAGUCCACGCCGUAAACGAUGAGUGCUAAGUGUUAGGGGGUUUCCGCCCCUUAGUGCUGCAGCUAACGCAUUAAGCACUCCGCCUGGGGAGUACGGUCGCAAGACUGAAACUCAAAGGAAUUGACGGGGGCCCGCACAAGCGGUGAAGCAUGUGGUUUAAUUCGAAGCAACGCGAAGAACCUUACCAGGUCUUGACAUCCUCUGACAAUCCUAGAGAUAGGACGUCCCCUUCGGGGGCAGAGUGACAGGUGGUGCAUGGUUGUCGUCAGCUCGUGUCGUGAGAUGUUGGGUUAAGUCCCGCAACGAGCGCAACCCUUGAUCUUAGUUGCCAGCAUUCAGUUGGGCACUCUAAGGUGACUGCCGGUGACAAACCGGAGGAAGGUGGGGAUGACGUCAAAUCAUCAUGCCCCUUAUGACCUGGGCUACACACGUGCUACAAUGGACAGAACAAAGGGCAGCGAAACCGCGAGGUUAAGCCAAUCCCACAAAUCUGUUCUCAGUUCGGAUCGCAGUCUGCAACUCGACUGCGUGAAGCUGGAAUCGCUAGUAAUCGCGGAUCAGCAUGCCGCGGUGAAUACGUUCCCGGGCCUUGUACACACCGCCCGUCACACCACGAGAGUUUGUAACACCCGAAGUCGGUGAGGUAACCUUUUAGGAGCCAGCCGCCGAAGGUGGGACAGAUGAUUGGGGUGAAGUCGUAACAAGGUAACC
This 1025-nucleotide ribosomal RNA is filed under the name bacterium A3-12-2. Its description in RNAcentral is "bacterial SSU rRNA". It matches the Rfam family "Bacterial small subunit ribosomal RNA", at positions 472 to 1501 of the family's 1533-position model. The record is from RNAcentral.